Helianthus annuus (common sunflower) is the source of this 817-nucleotide long non-coding RNA. RefSeq lists it as uncharacterized. Lineage: Eukaryota; Viridiplantae; Streptophyta; Magnoliopsida; Asterales; Asteraceae. The transcript is spliced from 3 exons. The record is from RefSeq and is a predicted model, not a curated record.
UGGGACACCGACAUAUCAUUUAAUAUACCAAGAGAACUUGGCCUUCUGGGAAAGAAAGCUAUACAGCAACGCGAAACCGCUCAGAAGAUUGCCCUUCAAGCACUUAGAGAAGCCUCAGCCACUGAAACCGUUGUUUGACCCGUGAGGUAUGAGUAUUCCCGUGUGCGCGCGUGAUAAGACAUAGCCCUCUUUGUGCCGCUGCAAAAUUUCCUGUUCGAGCUCUACCAAGACUAUUGCAAACUCUGAAUUGCACCAGCGGGUUUGUAUGGUUUUGCUUACAAGUAGCCAUGGCAACAUGUUUGCUUAUUAAUGGGUCAAUUUGGAUUCCGCCUUUUCUCAAUCGGGUCAACUAAAAAAAGAUAGCUAACAGGUAGAACAGGUCAAACAUUUAUAACACGUUGAAAGUCACCCUGUUGGCGAUGGAAACAUGAGGCCUGUCCCCACUUGAUGUAAGUUUCCGAUUAUUGCCAACUUUGGUGGACCUGGUGGAAGGUUUUUGAGGCUCUUAGAAAAAAAAAACAAUUUUCUUUGUUUGAAGACGAAUAAGAGGAAGAAGACUGUUGAUAGCAGGAAGAGAAGGGAUGGGAGAUUGUUAUCUCUGAGAAAAGUUGUGAUAUUCAUAUAUAUAAUCUAGGUGAUGGGAUAUAAGGGUUUUAGUUUUUGUUGUUUGUGAAUGAUUCUAGACAUAGGGGAUGGGUGUAUUUAUUGACUUAAAUUGGCUGCAAGUCAAUAAACUUCCUUUACCAUUACAUGGGUCAAAUGUCAUAUUCUAAUGACCAUAACUUAAUUUGCAUGAGGAAUUAAUAAUUGGUUUGUA